RNAcentral lists this long non-coding RNA (1362 nucleotides) under Ananas comosus (pineapple). RNAcentral describes it as "long non-coding RNA (ACOM_LNC024219)". The record is from RNAcentral. Lineage: Eukaryota; Viridiplantae; Streptophyta; Magnoliopsida; Poales; Bromeliaceae.
AAAGCAGCAGCCGCAGAUGAAGGCUCUGCAAAAAGGUGCCAACAACUGGGUAUAAGAACUACUGCAAAAUAAAGUAGUCCUUAGUAGGUACCGUCACUGACCUCAACGGCCAAUCCACUAAAUCUACAGUAAUGAUAUGCACAUGAUAGUAAAGAAAGCUGAAAAAACUCUACAGCCACAUGUCUCUAUACUAUCGCUACCAAAACCAACUAACUGUAGACAUAAACAUGCAUCACUAGCUACCACUGACCUAAUCUCACACAGGCUGCCCAAGCGGACCCACCCUGCCUGUAACCAAGCUAUACCGUACACCACCCACGGGGAUGGUCGGUUCAAGAAAAAGGUCCAAACAGGACGGCUGCGACAUCAAUGCAAGUCAAAGUCUCACUCCGGAGCGGCACUCAUGGGCGCGACCCAACCGAGUAUGCAAGCGUGUCUCUACCGAACUCAAUCAGGCUCUCACAGGCUAUAGUCAAUGCAAAUGGGUCUAACUGGUCUAACAACAAAAACUCACGUGCACUUGGCACAAUCUGAUGCAAAUCUGGGUCCACCGUCAACCACGACAGGACCCAACAAUACGGAACAGUCUACACACUACUGUAAAACAAGCUCGGUCUGUCAGCACGAGCGUAAACUCAUCCUACACUAAUCUGAGUAUCCAGUACGCACUAACAGCGGGGAUAUAAAAGAACAACAGCUCCUGAAUCUAAAUCUGAUAACUUUCAAAAAAUGACAGUGCAGGUCGACACUUUUUAAAAGUGUUACUAUAUGUGGGGUCGCUAUAUAUAGGGUCGCCUUAAUGUUUGGCACCCACUCCUCUAGCGACCUGUCGCAGAGGGACACGUGGCAAUCGUAGCCCUCUACGGUCCUGCGAGAUCUUCGCGGUCGAACUCUAGCCGCCGGAACCCUAACUCAUCGGCUGCGGCAGGGGAGGAGAAAAAGUGGAGAUGAUGAUCAAUUUUUCUUUUUUGUUUUCUUUGUAUUUGUAAUCAGGCCGAAUGGGCUCAGUGGGGUUGGUUGAGUAGAAGAGUUUUUUGUUUUUGAUUUGAUUGAGCUUUAUAUUUAGACCUUAGUAGAUUUUUUAAAAAAGUUUUGGUAUAAAUAGAACACUUAUAUAAAAGUGUCUCAAAAAUAUAUUCCUAUAAUCUAAUUCUAUUAUAGUGACAUGUGUGGAGCUUAAAAGAGAACCAAUUUCACGAUCAUCAGAUUGCAGUGUAGAUCUACUCGUGCAAAAGUGAUGAUUAGAUCUUUCUUCUCUUUUAAUUUUAAAUACAUGAGGGAUCUUAUUUUAUGUGGUUCGAGAUCGGAUCACGAGUUUUAAAAUCAAAUUUUGUCUAAUUUUUCUUUCUGCUGCACUUUUAU